This 274-nucleotide ribosomal RNA is filed under the name uncultured bacterium. RNAcentral's name for it is "partial 16S ribosomal RNA". It matches the Rfam family "Bacterial small subunit ribosomal RNA", at positions 523 to 796 of the family's 1533-position model. The record is from RNAcentral.
AUACGGAGGGUGCAAGCGUUGUUCGGAAUCACUGGGCGUAAAGGGCGCGCAGGCGGUUUGGUAAGUCAGAUGUGAAAGCCCAUGGCUCAACCAUGGAAGUGCAUUUGAAACUGUCAGACUUGAGUACUAGAGGGGAAAGUGGAAUUCCCGGUGUAGAGGUGAAAUUCGUAGAUAUCAGGAGGAAUACCGGUGGCGAAGGCGACUUUCUGGCUAGAUACUGACGCUGAGGCGCGAAAGCGUGGGGAGCAAACAGGAUUAGAAACCCCAGUAGUCC